GCACAGAGAAAAUGCCAUAGUUCUGAGUCACAAACCCAGGAGCUACAGCCCAGCCUCCUGAAACCCAGAAGUGGAGUCUGGGAACCUCCAACAGUCAGGAGACAGAGGCAGCUGCUCACGCGCUCCGACCUUUCCUUCAGAGAACAAAACUCUUUGUCCAAAGACUGAGACCAGCAGCUGCUCUCCAGCAUGGAGCCAUCAUGAUCCCACCAGGUGGAGGCUGCCCGUGGCCUUCACACAUGGAUGCUCACUCUACAGGAGCCUUGGCCUCCAUUGACUCAGACCCCAGACCCACUGCCCCUCCUCGCGGGUCAGGAGGAGCUCACUGAAGACCCCCAGGUCCCGCCCACACUGCGGAUGGGGCAUCCCGGGAGGACAUACCAUUUGCAGCCCACCCAGCUGGUGAAUUGUUGGUUCACCACAGCCCCCCCCGCCCCCAAGCCCAUCUUCCCCAUCUCUGAGACACUGAGCCAGUGGUGGCCUUCUGAGCCCAGCUCAGGGUUUGGGGACGCAAAGUGAAAAAGGGCAGAACCCUGGGCCCCACCCAGACAGACUGGAGGAGAUCUGGCCCGGCCUCCUCAGCACGUGGGCCACUGGUCCUCAACUCCAGGUGCCCCAGAGGCUCCUGAGAAAGGUCUCAAAUGUGUGCUUCCAGGCGCUGAGGCCAGGAGACCCAUUCUGGACUUGGGGCCGAGUUGCUGGUGCCAGACGCAUGGGGGGUGGGCUCAGAGGGGAGCUGGGCUCACAGGGGCGGCUGGACAAGUGGGCCCUGGAGAGUUUGUUGUCAGAGGAGAGCUGGGGCUGGGCUCCACCCACUGGAGAUGGCCUCGGCCUGAGAUAGUGCUUCCACGUCACGGAAACUGUCUCCAGGCAGGAAUGACAGCGUCCCGUGUGCAACCAUGGGGCCUGAGAGACAAAGGAACUCAGAGAUGAUCCGAGCUACCUCCCUGCUGGAGAGACUGGGAUGCUGAGAAGGUGAGGCCUGGGAGGCACACGCCUGGGACCCAGGACCCGCUGGACCUCCUGACCCAAGGCCCGAGGUCCAUCCAUCUCUCUGCCUCCCUGGUCCCACUUAUCCCCUAAGACACAAGAGGGACAAGACCCCUCAGGUUUAAGGGUCUGAGCCAGAGCUGCAAAGGGCCCAGAAGUCAGGAAGAUGGAUCCAGACAAGAACCCAGGGAAGAGGCAGGUGCCAGACGCCAAGAAGCUCAGGCGCAGUGAUCUGUGUGGUGGAUGGGACGAUGAAUGCUGGGGCCACAGAGACCCUGGACACAAGCUGCUUCUACCUGCUGGCCUGCCUGCCCAUCCCACGCCAGGAGACGCUGCUCAGCCAUCACUGUGAACUCACCUGCUGACCCAUAUCACGACCUCAGCAUCCUUCUCAACACACGACCAUCUAUCCAUCGGUGCCGACUUACAACCUGUCCCCUCCCUGCCGGAUGCACAGAGUGGCCAUACAGUUUAUCAUCCAAACAAGGGCAGUUUUGAGAGUGAAAGAGAGCCUGUGACUAAUUCAUGGGGACACAAUGCAUGGGGGUUAUCCCAGGUGAGUUAGAGGCUGCGGUCACCCUAAUUCCACCUCAAUGAGGCUCCCAAAGCACCCACCCACUCCUUGUAGGUAAACCCACCUAAGAAAGCUUGAGCGCGUCUUCCUACAGGAUGGCUGGGGUGGAGGAUGGGGGGACUUGGGGAAGGAGGGGGGGUCUUGGUGAGGAAGGACAAGGCCUGCCUCAGGGUCACAGACUUGUCUGCAGAGGUGCCAUCCCCACUGGACUGUUCCCCUCCCCCUGCCCAGUGGUCCUUGGCACCACCCCCCUGCCCUGGUAGCACCAGCCCAUCACCUUCCCAUGAAAGCCAGUGUCUGGCCCCCGCCCUGCCUCUGCCUCACAGCGAAUAAUCGGUUCUACAGUAGUUUAAUGAGCCAGUUACGAACGCAUUUGGGUGUCUUACGGAGGCAGAAUCACCUUGUUUACUCCUUGGUAAUUAAAUCAGCUACAUCUGAUUUCUGUUUGGGGAGAUUUAUGGGCAUUUUCUGU
Molecule: long non-coding RNA, 2036 nt
Organism: Bubalus bubalis (water buffalo)
Lineage: Eukaryota; Metazoa; Chordata; Mammalia; Artiodactyla; Bovidae
Exons: 3
Source: RefSeq, a predicted model, not a curated record